GCUGAUGUAACUCAAUGGUAGAGUAACUGAUUUGUAAUCAGUAGGUUAUGGGUUCAAUUCCCUUUAUCAGUU
Molecule: transfer RNA, 72 nt
Filed under: Myotis davidii
Lineage: Eukaryota; Metazoa; Chordata; Mammalia; Chiroptera; Vespertilionidae
Rfam family: tRNA
About the family: Transfer RNA (tRNA) molecules are approximately 80 nucleotides in length. Their secondary structure includes four short double-helical elements and three loops (D, anti-codon, and T loops).
Source: Rfam by way of RNAcentral